Molecule: ribosomal RNA, 510 nt
Filed under: uncultured bacterium
Lineage: Bacteria
Description: partial 16S ribosomal RNA
Rfam family: Bacterial small subunit ribosomal RNA
Source: RNAcentral
AACGAACGUUAGCGGCGCGCCUAACACAUGCAAGUCGAACGCGACAGGGGCAACUCUGUUGAGUGGCGCACGGGUGAGUAACACGUAGGUAAUCUCCCCCCGAGUGGUGGAUAACCUUCCGAAAGGAGGGCUAUUACAGCAUAAGACCACGGCUUCGAAAGGAGCUGAGGUCAAAGCGGAGGAUCGCAAGACUUCGCGCUUGGGGAUGAGCCUGCGGCCCAUCAGGUAGUUGGCGGGGUAACAGCCCACCAAGACUAAGACGGGUAGCUGGUCUGGGAGGAUGAUCAGCCACACUGGAACGAGGACACGGUCCAGACUCCUACGGGAGGCAGCAGUGGGGAAUCUUGCGCAAUGGACGAAAGUCUGACGCAGCGACGCCGCGUGGGUGAUGAAGGCCUUCGGGUUGUAAAGCCCUGUGGGGAGGGACGAAUAAGUUUCAGCUAAUACCUGAAGCGAUGACGGUACCUCCUUAGCAAGCACCGGCUAACUCUGUGCCAGCCGCCGCCGUAA